Molecule: ribosomal RNA, 163 nt
Filed under: uncultured Flavobacterium sp.
Lineage: Bacteria; Pseudomonadati; Bacteroidota; Flavobacteriia; Flavobacteriales; Flavobacteriaceae
Description: partial 16S ribosomal RNA
Rfam family: Bacterial small subunit ribosomal RNA
Source: RNAcentral
CUGAUCUAUGCGCGCAGCUGAUCAGCCAUGCCGCGUGCAGGAUGACGGUCCUAUGGAUUGUAAACUGCUUUUAUACGAGAAGAGACACUCCUUCGUGAAGGAAUUUGACGGUAUCGUAAGAAUAAGGAUCGGCUAACUCCGUGCCAGCAGCCGCGGUAAUAGA